CCUAGUGAUAGCNGGUUAUUCAGGAAAAGAAUAUUAGUUCAACUAAAAAUUACCUAAAUAUAAACAAAUUUUACUCUAAUUUUUAAGCAAUUCAAAUAAGGUACAGCCUAUUUGAAACAGGAUACAACCUAAACUAACGGGUAACUUUUCUAGCACAUAUACCCAAGUAGGCCUAAUAGCAGCCAACUUUCAAAAAGCGUCAAAGCUUACUUAUAUGCUAAUCUAAUACCUUAAUAAACUUUAAACCCUUUAUUAAUACUGAAUACUUCUAUAUUCUUUAUAGAACUUUUUAUGUUAAAACUAGUAACAAGAAGGAAAACUUCUCUUUAAUGUAAAUGUAAGACGGCUAGAAUGCCCCACCGACAAUUAACGCCCAUGAACAACCAGUAGAAACACUACAAGAAAAAUCUACUACUUUUCACGUUAACCUUACACAAGAACAUUCCAAGAAAGAUUUAAAGAAAAGGAAGGAACUCGGCAAAUUUUAACCUCGCCUGUUUACCAAAAACAUCGCCUCUUGCUGAUUAUAAGAGGUCUAGCCUGCCCAGUGAUCUAAUUCAACGGCCGCGGUAUCCUAACCGUGCGAAGGUAGCGUAAUCACUUGUUCUUUAAAUGAGGACUAGUAUGAACGGCAUCACGAGGGUUAAGCUGUCUCCCCUUUCUAAUCAGUGAAACUGAUCUCCCCGUGAAGAAGCUGGGAUGAUUUUAUAAGACGAGAAGACCCUAUGGAGCUUUAAACUGUUCAACAAUUGCUAUAUUAUCCCUAAUUUCCAGAAUAUAAAAUUAUUUUAACAUUAUGAUUGUUAGUUUUCGGUUGGGGUGACCGCGGAGUAUAAAUUAACCUCCACGAUGAAAGAAACUCUAUUUCUUAACCCAGAGUUACAUCUCCAAGUAUCAAAAAUUUGACAUUAAUUGAUCCAAUUUUUUUGAUCAACGAACCAAGUUACCCUAGGGAUAACAGCGCAAUCCACUUCAAGAGCCCCUAUCGACAAGUGGGUUUACGACCUCGAUGUUGGAUCAGGGUAUCCU
RNAcentral lists this ribosomal RNA (1029 nucleotides) under Physalaemus maculiventris (Mantagnes dwarf frog). RNAcentral describes it as "partial 16S ribosomal RNA". It matches the Rfam family "Bacterial large subunit ribosomal RNA", at positions 838 to 2548 of the family's 2925-position model. The record is from RNAcentral. Lineage: Eukaryota; Metazoa; Chordata; Amphibia; Anura; Leptodactylidae.